RNAcentral lists this ribosomal RNA (254 nucleotides) under uncultured bacterium. RNAcentral's name for it is "partial 16S ribosomal RNA". It matches the Rfam family "Bacterial small subunit ribosomal RNA", at positions 524 to 776 of the family's 1533-position model. The record is from RNAcentral.
UACGGGGGGAGCAAGCGUUGUUCGGAUUUACUGGGCGUAAAGGGCGCGUAGGCGGCCUCUGCAAGUCGACUGUGAAAUCUCCGGGCUUAACCCGGAACGGUCAGCCGAUACUGCAGGGCUAGAGUGCAGAAGGGGCAACCGGAAUUCUCGGUGUAGCGGUGAAAUGCGUAGAUAUCGAGAGGAACACCUGCGGCGAAGGCGGGUUGCUGGGCUGACACUGACGCUGAGGCGCGAAAGCUAGGGUAGCAAACGGG